UGUUCCACUUCCAAAUGUGAAAUACUUAAAUUUUAUAAACUCCAAUCUUGAUGUGAACAAGAAUAUUCUUGUGAUUGCAACUGAUGUUCGAUAUCGUCCAUAACCAGCGGACACUCUCAGCCGAGACUUUGAUGGGAAAGACAACCGGGCAUACAGACGACUUUGAUUACCUAAAAUUAUCUGGCCAUUUAUUAAGAUGAGAUUGUGUAUAAGUCCGCUGUUUCAAUUUUCAGCAUUUUUUCAAAUAUAAAUUUCUAGCUUGAUGGCUUCUAAUCUGGUAUAUUGCAAAAAAUAACUAUUGGUAAAUUCUAUAUGCUGAAGCUUUUUUGCUUAUUUCCAAAAGCAAAAAGAGAUUAAAUCUCUGAAAUCUUCCUGCAAACAUAAAGCAAUGAUCAGCAAACUAAGAGGAACCAAGCCUUUCCUCGAACACGUGAUAGCAAACAUUAAGCUUUACUGCUUUUCAUCAGCACCUUUUUUUGAAAAGGGAUUUGUGAGAAACAUUUUGGUGUUUUGUAACAGUUUUCAUUUAAGCUUGCCAAUUUGCCCAUAAAGCGCAAAUUCUUCAGUAUAUCUGUGCAUGGAUAUUUGUUAUACCUAAUUGGUCGUGAAACAAAUUCCACAAACUCUC
Molecule: long non-coding RNA, 628 nt
Organism: Amblyraja radiata (thorny skate)
Lineage: Eukaryota; Metazoa; Chordata; Chondrichthyes; Rajiformes; Rajidae
Exons: 2
Source: RefSeq, a predicted model, not a curated record